RNAcentral lists this ribosomal RNA (406 nucleotides) under uncultured bacterium. Its description in RNAcentral is "partial 16S ribosomal RNA". It matches the Rfam family "Bacterial small subunit ribosomal RNA", at positions 29 to 526 of the family's 1533-position model. The record is from RNAcentral.
AUUGAACGCUGGCGGCAGGCUUAACACAUGCAAGUCGAGCGAGCGGCGGACGGGUGAGCAAUGUCUGGGAAACUGCCUGAUGGAGGGGGAUAACUACGGGAAACGGUAGCUAAUACCGCAUACCAUCAGAUGUGCCCAGAUGGGAUUAGCUAGUAGGUGGGGUAAUGGCUCACCAAGGCGACGAUCCAUAGCUGGUCUGAGAGGAUGACCAGCCACACUGGAACUGAGACACGGUCCAGACUCCUACGGGAGGCAGCAGUGGGGAAUAUUGGACAAUGGGCGAAAGCCUGAUGCAGCCAGGCCGCGUGUGUGAAGAAGGCCUUCGGAUUGUAAAGCACUGUCAGCGAGGAAGCGUUACUCAACGAGGAAGCACCGGCUAACUCCGUGCCAGCAGCCGCGGUAAUAC